AACAUGCAGUCGAACGGUAGCACAGAGAGCUUGCUCUCGGGUGACGAGUGGCGGACGGGUGAGUAAUGUCUGGGAAACUGCCUGAUGGAGGGGGAUAACUACUGGAAACGGUAGCUAAUACCGCAUAACGUCGCAAGACCAAAGAGGGGGACCUUCGGGCCUCUUGCCAUCAGAUGUGCCCAGAUGGGAUUAGCUAGUAGGUGGGGUAACGGCUCACCUAGGCGACGAUCCCUAGCUGGUCUGAGAGGAUGACCAGCCACACUGGAACUGAGACACGGUCCAGACUCCUACGGGAGGCAGCAGUGGGGAAUAUUGCACAAUGGGCGCAAGCCUGAUGCAGCCAUGCCGCGUGUAUGAAGAAGGCCUUCGGGUUGUAAAGUACUUUCAGCGGGGAGGAAGGCAAUAAGGUUAAUAACCUUGUNCCAUUGACGUUACCCGCAGAAGAAGCACCGGCUAACUCCGUGCCAGCAGCCGCGGUAAUACGGAGGGUGCAAGCGUUAAUCGGAAUUACUGGGCGUAAAGCGCACGCAGGCGGUCUGUCAAGUCGGAUGUGAACAUCCCCGGGCUCAACCUGGGAACCUGCAUUACGAAAAUUGGCAGGCUUGGGAGUUCNUUGGUAGAAGGGGG
RNAcentral lists this ribosomal RNA (627 nucleotides) under Klebsiella sp. UST050418-886. RNAcentral's name for it is "bacterial SSU rRNA". It matches the Rfam family "Bacterial small subunit ribosomal RNA", at positions 52 to 664 of the family's 1533-position model. Lineage: Bacteria; Pseudomonadati; Pseudomonadota; Gammaproteobacteria; Enterobacterales; Enterobacteriaceae. The record is from RNAcentral.